Molecule: non-coding RNA, 114 nt
Organism: Danio rerio (zebrafish)
Lineage: Eukaryota; Metazoa; Chordata; Actinopteri; Cypriniformes; Danionidae
Source: Rfam
UUGGGAUAUGGAGACAUGUAUCCUCAGACUUGGUCAGGUAUGUUAGUGGGCGCAUUGUGUGCUUUGGCUGGUGUGUUAACCAUCGCCAUGCCUGUGCCCGUCAUCGUCAAUAAC